This 283-nucleotide long non-coding RNA is filed under the name Elaeis guineensis (African oil palm). Its description in RNAcentral is "long non-coding RNA (EGUI_LNC067327)". The record is from RNAcentral. Lineage: Eukaryota; Viridiplantae; Streptophyta; Magnoliopsida; Arecales; Arecaceae.
AAUCUACUAAUGACACCUAGCAUUAUGUAGUGACAACCCAAUAGAACCGAAAUGAACCUCUAGGUAUAGUUAAUGUAUGAUUCAAUCCCUUAAUCGUGAGUCUCGAUUAGAUGGUAGGUCAUAGAUUAAUCGUCAAACCUCAAUGUCAGUCAUAUGAUAGAUUCGAUCAGCUCAAGUCCAACUAUGAUUUUUAUGAAAACUCUUUUCCAUCUAUCACACUACUGUGGCCACAAAUUUUUAGAAUUAGCCUCUCAAAUCUCAUAGAACUACUCCUCUCUAUCAA